RNA transcript from Cuculus canorus (common cuckoo), 6841 nucleotides. RefSeq lists it as uncharacterized. The transcript is spliced from 5 exons. Lineage: Eukaryota; Metazoa; Chordata; Aves; Cuculiformes; Cuculidae. The record is from RefSeq and is a predicted model, not a curated record.
AGCUCUAAGAAAACUCCAGGGAAAAAAAAAGAUUUUGAAUCAGCCACACUGUCUUGGUUUUGACCUUAUCUUCAUCUUUCAGUGGAGGGAGUUGGCAGAGGAAAUUUGUUAUGUGUUCUGCUGGGACCUGAGAUGAAAGAGAAAGUAAAGGUGCAGGAUGUGACUGCUGUGAUGGUAUGUCCGCUUCGGACCAAGCUUUGUGCCAGUGCCGGGAAAUCCCCCAACCAGCCUGGUGGCUUGCAGAUCUGGACCACUUACUCCAUCUCUUGGCAUUAGACAGACCCCAAUGCUGAGAUCCUGCCAUACACCGAAAGCCGGGGCUGUCGCAACAAGCACACGCGCCCGGGGAACGCGGUGCUGCGUGGGGCGGCCAGUGGGUCCCUGCUCACCCCGCGCUUGAGUGAUGCUCCAAAGAGGCAGCCUGACCUCGCCAGCCUAGUUGAUGAACUUGUGAUCCCGAUUAGCAAAUGCCGCCUCGUUUGGCCUAACAACCAGCGCUGCGGCUGUAAGAUGGCUGCCAAAAAGGAUGGGAAUCGCUGCUUUUGCAUUCGGGGUGAAUAACGAGCUUCAUGUGCAUCAAGAAGCAGCAGGUUAGAGGAGGGGGAGCUUCGCAAGCCAAAGGACAGUGGUGCCUUAGCACAGGCUGUCUGGCCCAGAAACGCAUCAGUGGGAAAGGAGGAUGGAGCAGCUGACUCCUGAAAGUCCCUGCCGUGUAUAAUUUGCCAAGGAGACUGGAGCUGCCCUGCACGGCUAAGAAAACUGAUGUAAGUGUAACUGGGGAAUUCCAGGAGCCGCCUGGCUUCAGAGCAGGCAGUAUUCCCUCCCCUGUCCUUCUUUUUCCUCCUCCUCCUGUCGUCACUGUGAACAACAGCUGAAACCCUGCCUCAGAUUUUCAUAAUCCUGAUACGAGCUGCAGCAGCUGUGCCGAUCCAGGGGAUGCGAUAAGCAGCUGGCAGCGGGAAACACUGCUCGAAAUCCUUCUCCGUCUGCCCUCCCUACUGCUGACCACGCGAACAUGAAGGCUUUUUGCCUCCGGAUCCUGUUUGCGCUGAGCAUCUUGCGCCUGGUGAUCCCGGCAGGAGGGCAACCCAAAGCACCUUUGAAAUGUUCAACAGAAUGUGGUCGGUUUACAUCUGAGAUAUCGGCAAAGAGGAUAAGGAGCUACCGCAGGACUGAACCCAGCUGCAAGAAACAAGCCUUCAUAUUUAUUACCGUGAGGUCCGUGGAGCUUUGUGCGGAUCCAGCAGCAGACUGGGUGAAGAAGAUUGUAGAGAAAUUGGAUCAGAAAAAAGCUACAGAGUCCUCACUUCCACGUGAUCCCAAGUUAGCAGCCGCACCAGAAGGGCCUGGUAUUUUUCAAAAACAUAUCGGUCUUACAGCAACAGUGCCACCUCAAGCCCCCACUCCAACUAUUUUCUUCCAAGGGACUGGCACAACAGUUUUGGAGAGAACAUAUGUUCCUGCUGACAGGGUGGAGGCAUCCAGCAAGUCCCCACCAGCCUCGCAGAACACCACACAGCUCCACGCAGGAUUGUCCCCUGCGAUACGGGAAACCGCUGCCCGCUCUGAAGUCUCUCCAGAAGCAAACAGAGAACCCCUAAAGUCUGCACCUUCAACAGCUUUUGCAGCAAACACGGUCUCCAGUCAGCCCACCCUGCACCCCCCGGCUCUGGUGCAUGGCUUUGACAAGGCUGUAGGAUCUAUGGAGGAAGCUGCAGGGGACACUGCAAAUGCUACGGCUUAUGUUCAAGACAUGACUUCUCCUAGCUCAAAUUCAGACCCUGUGGUCAUUACUAAAGGGUCAGACCAUCCUGUACAUUCUACAAAUGAAUCCCUGGAUACUACAAAUGCAAGAGUCGACACACCAGAAACUGCUUCUAGUAGAUCUAGUUCAUUUCUCCCCUCCAUCCUGGACAGCAAGGGGAUCGCCACAGUCCCAGCCACUCCAGUCCCACCAGAGAUUACUUCAGCUUCUAUUCUAAACCCCACAACUGCCAUAGGUGAAGGUUCUUCUGCCCGCACCAACAAGGUUGCCAGGUACUCUGCAGAUGCUUUUGGUACUAAAACAUUUGGUUAUUCAUCGUCCGUAGGAAAGCAAGAUCCUUCAGAUAUGUUAGUUUUUACUAGUCAAGCGUCCUCAGGCCAAGCCAAAGCACAGGUGACCACAGAAAGACCGAACAAUCUGCCUCUUCCCAGCUUCUUGUCAAGAUCUCAAAUGAACUUUGUCAUCCCUGUUUCUGUGGUAGGGGGUCUGAUGGCUUGCAGUGUUGCUGCUGCAUGGCUGUACCUAAAAUUUGGAAUCAAAGCAGAAGAAAUGUCAAGGGAAAUGGUACAGGGCUUGCUCUACGAGAAGAGGGGACAUGAAAGCAAUGCUUAUCCAAUGGAAGUUGUCUGAGGGCUUUACGGUGUGCACAUACUUGACCUAAACUAUAUGUGCGCUGCUGCAGGAAAAAAGUUUCUGCUGAACUGGUGACCAGUAGAAAGCAAGGCAGGGAAUAAAAAUACCAGAGAAAACUGAUUUUUUCUUGCAAGGCAGAAUGUCCAAAAAUGUAUAUAAGUCAUCAUUUACCAAUGGUGGUGUUUUGGAAAAAAAAAAAAUCGGAGGCAUUUUGUCUUUCUGGCACUGUUACACAAGAAGGUUGUUGCUGUUGUAGAGCUGCUUGGUGGCUCUUUGCCAGGCGUUGGGCAGAAGUGAAAUUUCCAAAUUGCUGUUGGGAAUUUUUCUGCGUUUCACCUUGGCCCAGCUGAGAAGCCACCUACUCAUUCAUGCUAUUGGACUUGGACUCUGCCAGCUUGAGCAAUCCUAACACCAAAACCACACGAUUUGCACUUAACAAGCUCUCUGCUGCUUCUUUCUUUGCACCUCAGGUUGCUGCUCUGUCAGGCCGAGCCUGAUGCUGGUCAUCAGCUGGGUGCUGGCUCACCUUGGGCUGGUCGAACACCCCGUUUACUCUUGCUGGAGAUUUGAGUGGUAGUCCAGCUUUUCAGACAGAGGUGAUGAAAACUGCAUCUGACUAGAGGACUGAAGAUCAGUGCUACAGGUUUCACGUUCAAAGGAGCCGUCAACCUGCAGUCUAUCUCGUCUCUUUGAAACCAGGCCACCUUUCUCUCGACAGCUGUGGGCAUUUCUUCUUGCAGCUUUAGUGUAAGGCUUGGUUCUUGGCAAAUAAACUGCAAUAAAUCUCUCUGCUAGCUGAAGCAUCAGCUGUGCCCAACCAGGGCAAGAUAAUGUGGAUGACCUUUGAAAAUGGGAGAAAACAAGGAGUCACCCAGUAAUUUGCUAUGCCUAUGAAAAUACUGGAGGGGUUUUGCUGUUCUCUGCAAGCACAAAACCUAGGAAAAACUUCCUUGGAGGAGCUAAAUGCGGUUCCGGAUUUAGUCACAUAGGGAUUACUCCACCACAGCAGACACACCAUCCUUUUGGUCCCAUAUUCAGCACAUUUGCUGAGCCACAAAAAAAGCACAAAAUGCCUGUUCAUGGUCCUACAUUUCCGCUGCAUUUUAGUUUUUCUUAUUUUUAAUACUUAUCGCCGGACUAUUAAUGCACCAUAACAGUACCAGGGUUCUUUUUAACCCCAAAUGGUUUUGAUUUUAACACAUUUAGAGGUUGUUGUAUGUAAGCCUUAUCUUUCAUCUGUGGUCAGUUCCUGAAAGCCCUUAUUAAACAUUGACUCCAGUAUGAAUUUUGCUGGACCAUGUAAAGGUCUUCAUGAUAUGAUGUUUCAUACAUAGAGAGACAUAUUAAGGGCCAGAUCUUCCUCUAUCCAACCUCAGUGGAUGAGGCACAAAGGAUGCUUGUAUAAAAAGAAAGCAAAACCGUGUAAUAAGGAAAAUAAUCAAAGAAGAAAUGAUGGGGCAGCUGUAAAGCAGACCUAGAGGAAGGUGGCCUAUGAGAUCCAUCAGAUCCCACCUUCAGAACAUUCAUCCAGCCCUGCAGGUGGAGAGGACAGACUGCGAUUUUGUCCGGCUUCUGCUGUCAUUAAAGCCCUUAUGUCUGCAUUUUCUUGACUUGAGAGAGGGGAGUCAGGGAUCCACCUUGGUCUUUGCAGGAUGCAAACAGAUGAACUGUAUUUAUGGAUUUGGGGUGAAAGCCAUCCUUGUGCAGGAGCACUCCUGUGCAGCCCAGCUGUGCGACGCUGGCUGGGGUUGGUUUACCUGGAGGGUAAAUCAGGGGCUGUUGGCGCUGCCUCCUCACCCACCUGGCUCAUGCGUGCCUGGGGACUGCGGCCUCGCAGUUCGUCAAGCAGUGUACUAUGGCAUUAUUUUUAUAUGAAACAUUAGAAACCUUAUUUUUAUAGUGAAGUGUUUUAGCCAUUUGAAUGUAUGUAAUGUCCUGUUCUUGCUACGGAGCAUCGCUGUGUCGCGACUUUUCUGGAAACACUGGAAAACACUGUGCCUUCUCUCUUUUCUUUGCUGGUCUUGGAUGGCUUGUGCGUAUCCAUGGGAGCUGGAUCACUCUCCAGGCGCUACAGCAAAUGGAGUGGACACUUGUCUUGUCUGGCUACAAGUAAAAUCCUUGCCUGGAGCAAUUCUGGGAAGAUGGUUGUUUACCCGGCAGGUCUGACCACUUUGAGUCCCACUGCAGAAUUUGUAAUGGUUUUGGCUCCACGGCUGACUCCUACCAUCUUCCAGCUGCCGCGGUCAUGUUGGUACUCAUCAGGAGGAGCUGCUCCUCCAGUCUGGAUUCAUCCUUGUGCUCACCUUGCUCCCCUCUCCUGCUCCCAGGGCUGUUAGCAGGCAGGACACUGGCACCGCUCAUGGAGGGCAGUUAAAACCCAAGGCAGGACUGGACCCCUGUUCUUAAUCGCCUUAUGCUCUGCAACAGGCAAUUUGGGAGAGCAGAAGGGAGAGGACGGGUGAGGGAGUGAGGAGCUGUGUAAAAACGUCAGCUCCAACAGUGAUGAAAUCAUUUCCGACGUGCAGACCGAGUGCAGGCGCCAGCAUGGAGCCAUUCAGGGGCUGUGGCUCUGGAGCACUGAAGGAGCUUUUGGACACCCUGUCUGUUGGCAGUCUGGUGGCACAUCCUCUUUGCUGCUGCUCCUUGGCUUCUCUAUGUCUGAUAGUGCAGGGAAAGUCCUGGUAGGCAAAGGACAUCCAACUAUGGACCUCCCUGUGCUCUUCCUGGAGGUCUCGGGGCUGCCUCAGGUGUAGAAUUAGGCCCAGGAAAUAACCAAUGCCAAGUCUAGCGUGCUCAGUUGGAACAAGGCUUGCCUUCUGCAAGUAGCACGCUGGACUCAUGCGCAUACCUUGAGGUUUCCUCCCUAACCAUAGGAGCCAAGAGGGGCCAUGGUCAUGGUGUGCCCCUUCUGAUCCCUUGCUGACCCACGUCUUUGGUUUCCAGCUCCACAUCAGUGCAAGCCUUCUCCACCACCACAUUACCUGGCUGUUUUGAUAGAGAUCACUGAAACUCCAAACAGGCUCCCUUCCAUGCCUUCACAUCCCUACGGGAUCCAUCCAGUGGCACAGGGGCAGGUCUUGAGGGCACUAAUUGGCCUUAAUCACCCUGACCAGCCUCACCUGUGGAUGGACUCCCACCCCACAGCCUCUGCCCAAGGCCCAGAAGCCCUAUUUAAACCUAGGCUGGGGUCUUCAUUCUCUGCUUUGGCUGUGCUGUAAGAACGUUGGUUUGAUGUCCUGGCUGUGAGACUGUCUCUUGGAUAGAGCCUGGAUCUAGGUAGUAGUGAAGUCGCGCAAACAUGAGAUAAUCUUCAAGGAAACCUGUUUCUACCUUUCUUCUCCUCCAAGAAGCCCUGGCUUGCCCCGUUCCCAAGCCACCACCAGGACCCCCUUUGUGCUCCCACCCACCAUCGUCCCAUGUGGGUUUCCACCAGGUCCUUGCCACCCCUUUCACACAGACCUGCUGCAUCUCACCUUCCCAGGAGGAGAUAGCUGCAUGGAAGCUGGACUGAUGCCCACUAGUGCCCUGUGGAGCUGCCUUUGGUGUCUGUGCUACCCGCCUUUCCUGCCCUCGGGGCUCUCUCCAGGGCCACUUUCUUGGGGUUGUGGUGGGGUUUUUCCCAUCUCUCUGCAGAAAUUACCUGUCUGUGCACUGUCUGUUUGAUGACCACAAGAUCCCAUCCCUCCAAACUUCUCAUUUUGAUCCCAUUGCCAGUGCGGGAGGCAGAGGAGGCAAGACUGGAGAUCAGACCCGGCAUCAGACCCAGACUCUCCUCAGAUGCCCUGUUGCUCUUGCCCCAUUUCUUCCUCUUCUACAAUGCCUCCUAAACACACUAAAAUCAUCUCUGCUCCUGGGUCCCUCCUAGCUCUGUCCAGUGUUUUUUCCUGGCUGACAACAUCUGUCUCACCCCAUCCCAAGCCGAGUGCUCCAGCAGGUCCGUGCCUAACGCAGCACCCUUGGCACGGCCAGGCUGGCUGGGAAGGCGCAUCAGUCACUUGCCUUUGACUCGGGCAAACCAGCAAAACCCAUCAAUGACCUGUUCCUGCUCAGAGAUUUUGAGUCAUCUCUCCCAUUAGAAAUACACAGGCAAGCAUUAUACGUGAUGUCUCACCUUCACACGAAGUUGUUUUUAAUCUGCUCUCCCGGGUAAAUCUCAGUUCUUCCAAAACUUCCUGGAAGCCCCUUGAGGCUUUUCUACAGAAAGCAGAAGUGGCUGCCCCGCUCCUCAGCCUCUUCUACACAUCGCUGGACGUGCCCCCCAAAAUAAAUGACGACAGAAAUCCCCUCAUCCCUGGGAACAGGAUUCUUAGAACAGGUCCUGAACUUUAGGGAAAGCGGUUAGAGUGGGUGGCGUGCUGAGGAUAAAUUACGGCAGGGCCAGAGCCAAAGCCACAGACACCAGGCAGAGCGGCACAAAACAAGACCAAAGAAGAGCCCCUUCAC